RNAcentral lists this ribosomal RNA (149 nucleotides) under uncultured bacterium. RNAcentral's name for it is "partial 16S ribosomal RNA". It matches the Rfam family "Bacterial small subunit ribosomal RNA", at positions 338 to 479 of the family's 1533-position model. The record is from RNAcentral.
CCUACGGGAGGCAGCAGUAGGGAAUCUUCCACAAUGGACUAAAGUCUGAUGGAGCAACGCCGCGUGAGUGAAGAAGGUUUUCGGAUCGUAAAGCUCUGUUGUUGGUGAAGAAGGAUAGAGGUAGUAACUGGCCUUUAUUUGACGGUAAU